Molecule: long non-coding RNA, 269 nt
Organism: Numida meleagris (helmeted guineafowl)
Lineage: Eukaryota; Metazoa; Chordata; Aves; Galliformes; Numididae
Exons: 3
Source: RefSeq, a predicted model, not a curated record
AAAUCUGCAGGGAGUUGGCUGGGGGCUGGCUGUUUAGGUGCUGGUCUGCAGAUAAAGUAAAUAGGAGGUAUUACUUUUAAAGUCAUCUACAUAUUUCCCAUCCAUUAACUAUAAUGGAACUGCAGAUCACCAACUCUUCCAUAAACAUUUAAACACAGGUGGCAGGAACUGUUCCAAAAUGUGAAAACAUUCCUGAAGGUCAUUCCUGAAGACAGUGAAACAAUUGCACUUCGUAUCUCAGACGAUGGAGAGAAGAUAACAAUGGAGCC